Molecule: ribosomal RNA, 333 nt
Filed under: uncultured prokaryote
Description: bacterial SSU rRNA
Rfam family: Bacterial small subunit ribosomal RNA
Source: RNAcentral
AGGACGAACGCUGGCGGCGUGCUUAACACAUGCAAGUCGAACGAGAUCCAUUUGGUGGUAACACCAGAGAAGAUCUAGUGGCGAACGGGUGCGUAACACGUGAGCAACCUGCCCCAAAGUUUGGAAUAACACCGGGAAACCGAUGCUAAUACCAAAUAUGCUCACACUAUCACAAGAUAGAGUGAGGAAAGUUUUUCGCUUUGGGAGGGGCUCGCGGCCUAUCAGCUUGUUGGUGAGGUAACGGCUCACCAAGGCAUCGACGGGUAGCUGGUCUGAGAGGACGAUCAGCCACACUGGGACUGAGACACGGCCCAGACUCCUACGGGAGGCAGC